Molecule: transfer RNA, 74 nt
Filed under: Lachnospiraceae bacterium NK3A20
Lineage: Bacteria; Bacillati; Bacillota; Clostridia; Lachnospirales; Lachnospiraceae
Description: rumen bacterium NK3A20 tRNA
Rfam family: tRNA
About the family: Transfer RNA (tRNA) molecules are approximately 80 nucleotides in length.
Source: Rfam by way of RNAcentral
GGCCUGGUGGCUCAGUUGGUUAGAGCGCCGCCCUGUCACGGCGGAGGUCGUGGGUCCGAGUCCCAUCCGGGUCG